AUUGAACGCUGGCGGCAGGCCUAACACAUGCAAGUCGAGCGAGCGGCGGACGGGUGAGUAAUGUCUGGGGAACUGCCUGAUGGAGGGGGACAACUACUGGAAACGGUAGCUCAUACCGCAUACCAUCGGAUGUACCCAUAUGGGAUUAGCUAGUAGGUGAGGUAAUGGCUCACCUAGGCGACGAUCCCUAGCUGGUCUGAGAGGAUGACCAGCCACACUGGAACUGAGACACGGCCCAGACUCCUACGGGAGGCAGCAGUGGGGAAUAUUGCACAAUGGGCGCAAGCCUGAUGCAGCCAUGCCGCGUGUAUGAAGAAGGCCUUAGGGUUGUAAAGUACUUUCAGCGGGGAGGCGUUACCCGCAGAAGAAGCACCGGCUAACUCCGUGCCAGCAGCCGCGGUAAUUC
RNAcentral lists this ribosomal RNA (406 nucleotides) under uncultured bacterium. Its description in RNAcentral is "partial 16S ribosomal RNA". It matches the Rfam family "Bacterial small subunit ribosomal RNA", at positions 30 to 526 of the family's 1533-position model. The record is from RNAcentral.